Molecule: ribosomal RNA, 1025 nt
Filed under: Neodeightonia sp. MFLUCC 11-0026
Lineage: Eukaryota; Fungi; Ascomycota; Dothideomycetes; Botryosphaeriales; Botryosphaeriaceae
Description: SSU rRNA
Rfam family: Eukaryotic small subunit ribosomal RNA
Source: RNAcentral
CAUCUAUACUGUGAAACUGCGAAUGGCUCAUUAAAUCAGUUAUCGUUUAUUUGAUAGUACCUCACUACUUGGAUAACCGUGGUAAUUCUAGAGCUAAUACAUGCUAAAAACCCCGACUUCGGGAGGGGUGUAUUUAUUAGACAAAAAACCAAUGCCCUUCGGGGCUCCUUGGUGAAUCAUGAUAACUUAACGAAUCGCAUGGCCUUGCGCCGGCGAUGGUUCAUUCAAAUUUCUGCCCUAUCAACUUUCGAUGGUAGGAUAGUGGCCUACCAUGGUAUCAACGGGUAACGGGGAAUUAGGGUUCUAUUCCGGAGAGGGAGCCUGAGAAACGGCUACCACAUCCAAGGAAGGCAGCAGGCGCGCAAAUUACCCAAUCCCGACACGGGGAGGUAGUGACAAUAAAUACUGAUACAGGGCUCUUUUGGGUCUUGUAAUUGGAAUGAGUACAAUUUAAAUACCUUAACGAGGAACAAUUGGAGGGCAAGUCUGGUGCCAGCAGCCGCGGUAAUUCCAGCUCCAAUAGCGUAUAUUAAAGUUGUUGCAGUUAAAAAGCUCGUAGUUGAACCUUGGGCCUGGCUGGCCGGUCUGCCUCACCGCAUGUACUGGUUCGGCCGGGCCUUUCCUCCUGGGGAUCCGCAUGCCCUUCACUGGGUGUGUUGGGGAACCAGGACUUUUACUUUGAAAAAAUUAGAGUGUUCAAAGCAGGCCUUUGCUCGAAUACAUUAGCAUGGAAUAAUAGAAUAGGACGUGCGGUCCUAUUUUGUUGGUUUCUAGGACCGCCGUAAUGAUUAAUAGGGAUAGUCGGGGGCAUCAGUAUUCAGUUGUCAGAGGUGAAAUUCUUGGAUUUACUGAAGACUAACUACUGCGAAAGCAUUUGCCAAGGAUGUUUUCAUUAAUCAGUGAACGAAAGUUAGGGGAUCGAAGACGAUCAGAUACCGUCGUAGUCUUAACCGUAAACUAUGCCGACUAGGGAUCGGGCGAUGUUAUUCUUUUGACUCGCUCGGCACCUUACGAGAAAUCAAAGU